RNAcentral lists this transfer RNA (82 nucleotides) under Homolaphlyctis polyrhiza JEL 142. RNAcentral describes it as "tRNA-Leu (AAG) (tRNA-Leu-AAG-1-1)". It matches the Rfam family "tRNA". Rfam says of the family: Transfer RNA (tRNA) molecules are approximately 80 nucleotides in length. Their secondary structure includes four short double-helical elements and three loops (D, anti-codon, and T loops). Further hydrogen bonds mediate the characteristic L-shaped molecular structure. tRNAs have two regions of fundamental functional importance: the anti-codon, which is responsible for specific mRNA codon recognition, and the 3' end, to which the tRNAs corresponding amino acid is attached (by aminoacyl-tRNA synthetases). tRNAs cope with the degeneracy of the genetic code in two manners: having more than one tRNA (with a specific anti-codon) for a particular amino acid; and 'wobble' base-pairing, i.e. permitting non-standard base-pairing at the 3rd anti-codon position. The record is from RNAcentral. Lineage: Eukaryota; Fungi; Chytridiomycota; Chytridiomycetes; Rhizophydiales.
GGGCGGAUGGCCGAGCGGUCCAAGGCGCCACGUUAAGGCCGUGGUCUCUUCGGAGGCGUGGGUUCGAAUCCCACUCCGCUCA